UACCAGAUGAUAUCAAUUGACUACAUUAAUAAUGACAUUGCGUAUUAAACAAACUGUCUGCUUAAUCAGAUGAUCAGACCCGCGUCAGUUAUUCGUGACUUCGCUAACUUACGCCACGAGCAACACUUGAUUCUAUUAGAAAAAGCUUUUUUAAAUGUCUCACGUGACGUCUGGUAACGUUAUAUUAACUGAAAAAAAUCGCUUUAUAGUGCCACACCUUAAAGCUGACGUUUUCAGAAGAGAACCUUGUUGUUUUAAGAUCUAAUUUUGUCCAAAUUUUGUAUGACUGAUAUAAUACUUAUUUCAUUAUUGCUCUGUGUAUGUGUGACCUUCAUCAUCUGAGGUUAUGUGUUGAUUUCACCUCUGAAUAUUUCCUCUUAUAGGUCCAUCAUCCUUGCACACACUCAAAAGCAUUGAUAAAUGCUGAAUUUAAAAGAAUCACUACUGUCUAAUGUUCCUGUGUCACAUGGACCUCCAAUCCAAAAACCUGACGAAACGCUUCUAUCAGAAAGGAGGACAGCUAGCAAAAAGACUUGGAACAAUUAAUGAUCAAAUGACAGAAGGCAUGGAUGAAGUCAGCAUCAGUGAGGUCAUUUGAAGACACCAAUGUUGGGAUUUGUGCUCUCAAACAACAUGCUUCUUGUGAUGAAGAGGAUCUUUGUAUAGUCCUGGAAGGCAUGAAGGUGUUCCAACAUCGUGCCAUGUUGUUUGAGCUGAUGUAUGCCUUAAACCUGAGCUAUCCUGAUCUCCGCUUUAUUUUUGAGGAAAUCCAAAAGAUUUUAAUGGAACUGCAUUGAGAGUAACUUUAACGAACAGUUUCUUUCAGUGAAAGGAUCAGAAAGACUGUGCUGCUCAUUUUCGACUUUGUUUAUCUGUUUUAAGUGUUUUCUCUUAUUAAAACAUUAACAGUUUGCUGCUCAGAGUUGAUUUUGGAAAUGGUUGUUGUAUUUUGUUUUUGUUGAAUCUUUGAUUAACAGUUUAUACAAAUGCUGUAGCUCUGACUUUCUGAAGGAUUGAUAUUUUCCAGUUUGUAAAUCCAUUUAAAAAAUAAUAGUACUUACUGUUUUGCAUGUCUCUUUGGAAUGCAGUGUUUGUGUUUUAGCACUUCUAAAUCUACUGUGAUAGUAACUAUUUUAAACAUUUGGGUCAGUUUCACAGAUGGGGCUUUAUUGCCUUAAUUUGAAAACAUAUUGCACUGACAUAUCUUGACAUAUAUCAGUGCCAUUGUUUUGUCUCAAGAUGUACUCCAGUGUUGUUUUUGUAAGGUAGGUUUGUUUGUAAACUUUUUUUGUAAAAAAUAUACUAAUAUAACUAGGGCCUAGUCAUGGAUUAAUCUACAACCUGUUUGGGAAAUUGCCCCUUUAUGUAUGUACUGCAUGUGCUGAUUGUUGUAAUAGUUAUUGACUGUUAAUGAAUUAAUGUGUAAUGAUGUAAUUGAAUUGAUGAUCUGAAAGCAGUGGUUUGCCUCAAUAUCACUAAACAUUUGUUCAAAACUCUUUGCUUUUUAUGCCAAUGCAAAUGUAUUUUGUAUUUAAAAAAGAAAUAAAUAACAUUUGGAUAAUUAUGGGUGAUUAUUCUGGUGCCAGAGACAUAAUGAAAUUGCUUUAGAGUUACAUAAUCCCAUAAUAUAAGCAUUAAAAAAGCAUGUUAGAGUAAGAGAUGAAAAUCUAGUCCCCUUACAUAAUAAAAUUACUUAAACAUUA
Misgurnus anguillicaudatus (oriental weatherfish) is the source of this 1703-nucleotide non-coding RNA. NCBI's taxonomy places the organism in Eukaryota, Metazoa, Chordata, Actinopteri, Cypriniformes, Cobitidae. The record is from RefSeq and is a predicted model, not a curated record.